AGCGAACGCUGGCGGCAGGCCUAACACAUGCAAGUCGAACGGCAGCACAGUAAGAGCUUGCUCUUACGGGUGGCGAGUGGCGGACGGGUGAGGAAUACAUCGGAAUCUACAUUCUCGUGGGGGAUAACGUAGGGAAACUUACGCUAAUACCGCAUACGACCUACGGGUGAAAGCAGUGGAUCUUCGGACCUUGCGCGAUUGAAUGAGCCGAUGUCGGAUUAGCUAGUUGGCGGGGUAAAGGCCCACCAAGGCGACGAUCCGUAGCUGGUCUGAGAGGAUGAUCAGCCACACUGGAACUGGGACACGGUCCAGACUCCUACGGGAGGCAGCAGUGGGGAAUAUUGGACAAUGGGCGCAAGCCUGAUCCAGCCAUACCGCGUGGGUGAAGAAGGCCUUCGGGUUGUAAAGCCCUUUUGUUGGGAAAGAAAAGCAGCAGGUUAAUACCCCGCUGUUCUGACGGUACCCGAAGAAUAAGCACCGGCUAACUUCGUG
RNAcentral lists this ribosomal RNA (492 nucleotides) under uncultured bacterium. RNAcentral's name for it is "partial 16S ribosomal RNA". It matches the Rfam family "Bacterial small subunit ribosomal RNA", at positions 29 to 507 of the family's 1533-position model. The record is from RNAcentral.